This 336-nucleotide long non-coding RNA is filed under the name Nicotiana benthamiana. RNAcentral's name for it is "long non-coding RNA (NBEN_LNC027260)". Lineage: Eukaryota; Viridiplantae; Streptophyta; Magnoliopsida; Solanales; Solanaceae. The record is from RNAcentral.
ACAAAGGGGAUUUUGUCAGGGUUGUAUCCUACCUUCUUGAGGUAGGAAGAAACCUCCUUUACGAUUUCAUCGUACCUAGCCUUGGAGUACUUGGGGGUGGUAGCGUCCAUCUUGUUACAGCAGCAAGUCAUUUGCUUGAAACCAAGGGUGAAAGCAAGCAAUGCAUGUUCAAGGGAUCCAUCUGCACAAGGAAUAAAGCUGGUUAGCAAACACACAUCAAUCUUCAAUUUCAAAGCCACUAAAAAUACAAGCAAACCUUGUUACAGCAGCAAAUCAUUUGCUUGACACCAAGGGUGAAAGCAAGCAAUGCAUGUUCACGGGUCUGUCCAUCCUUAG